Molecule: transfer RNA, 72 nt
Filed under: bacterium
Lineage: Bacteria
Description: tRNA-Met
Rfam family: tRNA
About the family: Transfer RNA (tRNA) molecules are approximately 80 nucleotides in length. Their secondary structure includes four short double-helical elements and three loops (D, anti-codon, and T loops).
Source: RNAcentral
UGCGGGGUGGAGCAGUGGUAGCUUGUCGGGCUCAUAACCCGAAGGUCGCAGGUUCGAAUCCUGCCCCCGCAC